This 27-nucleotide non-coding RNA is filed under the name Rattus norvegicus (Norway rat). The record is from RNAcentral. Lineage: Eukaryota; Metazoa; Chordata; Mammalia; Rodentia; Muridae.
UACUGGAAAAGAGUGAGGGAAGAAGUC